This 468-nucleotide ribosomal RNA is filed under the name uncultured bacterium. RNAcentral's name for it is "partial 16S ribosomal RNA". It matches the Rfam family "Bacterial small subunit ribosomal RNA", at positions 28 to 507 of the family's 1533-position model. The record is from RNAcentral.
GACGAACGCUGGCGGCGUGCUUAACACAUGCAAGUCGAACGGAAAGGCCCUGCUUUUGUGGGGUGCUCGAGUGGCGAACGGGUGAGUAACACGUGAGUAACCUGCCCUUGUCUUUGGGAUAACUCCAGGAAACUGGGGCUAAUACCGGAUAGAAGCUCCUGCUGCAUGGUGGGGGUUGGAAAGUUUCGGCGGUUGUGGAUGGACUAGCGGGUUAUCAGCUUGUUGGUGGGGUAGUGGAUUACCAAGGCUUUGACGGGUAGCCGGCCUGAGAGGGUGACCGGCCACAUUGGGACUGAGAUACGGCCCAGACUCCUACGGGAGGCAGCAGUGGGGAAUAUUGCGCAAUGGGCGGGAGCCAGAUGCAGCAACGCCGCGUGCGGGAUGACGGGCUUCGGGUUGUAAACCGCUUUCGCCUGUGACGAAGCGUGAGUGACGGUAAUGGGUAAAGAAGCACCGGCUAACUACGUG